UCAAGGGUAUACGAGUAGCUGCACUCCCCUGCUAGAACCUCCAAACAAGCUCUCAAGAUAUAUUCCUAUUCUAUGCACAGAAAGUC
This 86-nucleotide small RNA is filed under the name Carlito syrichta (Philippine tarsier). Its description in RNAcentral is "7SK RNA (ENSTSYG00000030942.1)". The record is from RNAcentral. Lineage: Eukaryota; Metazoa; Chordata; Mammalia; Primates; Tarsiidae.